CACUACCCCUGUAAGCUGAAAGGAAGGAAGUGCUGCAGAGGAAGUGCUGGGAGAGAAUCAGCAGAGUGAGAGAAAGUUGGUGCUGUAAGGUGGCUGAUAUUACUGUGUGUGAAAAGUCAGUAGUGGCAGAAACGCAUGCUUUGUUUAGGGAGUGGAAGGAAAGGGGUCCUUGUCAGGGCUCUGAGGAACAAAGCUUGCUUUUUUCAGAGCACAGAAAGCCAUUUUCCACAUAUGCAGGAUCUCCCAGCAGCUGAGAAACCAAACUAUCUACAUGAAUAUGUGAAGUUAUUGCUGGCUGGAGGUAUCAAAUGUAUUUAAAGAUCAUAAUGAGACGACAUUUCUAAAAGUAAACCUCGCAGUUGUAAAGAAUGGGCGCUCCUGUAUACAUGGUUGGCUAUUUUCUAGCUCAGAGAUGGACUAAUAUUUUCCACUGCGCAAAGUCAAUCCAGUCACAUCUGCAAGUGCAGUGUUGAUACAAUGCUGUAGAAUUAAAAUGGAUCUCACUAAGUAGAAAGAUGCUGCAAAAAGCCCAAAUCCGGCUCCUAUGAAGUUUUGGUCUGCACGGUGUUUAGUCUGAAAAUCCUACUUUUUCUGGGUUUUCAAGCAAUAACGUGAAAAAUUUUAGCCAUUGGGAAAAAAUUUGAGCAAUUCAGGAAGAGGCCCGAUUAAAUCAAUUUUUUUUAUCAAUAAAUAAGCUAAAAUAAGG
Molecule: long non-coding RNA, 706 nt
Organism: Xenopus laevis (African clawed frog)
Lineage: Eukaryota; Metazoa; Chordata; Amphibia; Anura; Pipidae
Exons: 3
Source: RefSeq, a predicted model, not a curated record